UUAAAUUGAAGAGUUUGAUCAUGGCUCAGAUUGAACGCUGGCGGCAGGCCUAACACAUGCAAGUCGAACGGUAACAGGAAGCAGCUUGCUGCUUCGCUGACGAGUGGCGGACGGGUGAGUAAUGUCUGGGAAACUGCCUGAUGGAGGGGGAUAACUACUGGAAACGGUGGCUAAUACCGCAUAACGUCGCAAGACCAAAGAGGGGGACCUUCGGGCCUCUUGCCAUCAGAUGUGCCCAGAUGGGAUUAGCUUGUUGGUGAGGUAACGGCUCACCAAGGCGACGAUCCCUAGCUGGUCUGAGAGGAUGACCAGCCACACUGGAACUGAGACACGGUCCAGACUCCUACGGGAGGCAGCAGUGGGGAAUAUUGCACAAUGGGCGCAAGCCUGAUGCAGCCAUGCCGCGUGUAUGAAGAAGGCCUUCGGGUUGUAAAGUACUUUCAGCGGGGAGGAAGGUGUUGUGGUUAAUAACCGCAGCAAUUGACGUUACCCGCAGAAGAAGCACCGGCUAACUCCGUGCCAGCAGCCGCGGUAAUACGGAGGGUGCAAGCGUUAAUCGGAAUUACUGGGCGUAAAGCGCACGCAGGCGGUCUGUCAAGUCGGAUGUGAAAUCCCCGGGCUCAACCUGGGAACUGCAUUCGAAACUGGCAGGCUUGAGUCUUGUAGAGGGGGGUAGAAUUCCAGGUGUAGCGGUGAAAUGCGUAGAGAUCUGGAGGAAUACCGGUGGCGAAGGCGGCCCCCUGGACAAAGACUGACGCUCAGGUGCGAAAGCGUGGGGAGCAAACAGGAUUAGAUACCCUGGUAGUCCACGCCGUAAACGAUGUCUACUUGGAGGUUGUGCCCUUGAGGCGUGGCUUCCGGAGCUAACGCGUUAAGUAGACCGCCUGGGGAGUACGGCCGCAAGGUUAAAACUCAAAUGAAUUGACGGGGGCCCGCACAAGCGGUGGAGCAUGUGGUUUAAUUCGAUGCAACGCGAAGAACCUUACCUGGUCUUGACAUCCACGGAAGUUUUCAGAGAUGAGAAUGUGCCUUCGGGAACCGUGAGACAGGUGCUGCAUGGCUGUCGUCAGCUCGUGUUGUGAAAUGUUGGGUUAAGUCCCGCAACGAGCGCAACCCUUAUCCUUUGUUGCCAGCGGUUAGGCCGGGAACUCAAAGGAGACUGCCAGUGAUAAACUGGAGGAAGGUGGGGAUGACGUCAAGUCAUCAUGGCCCUUACGACCAGGGCUACACACGUGCUACAAUGGCGCAUACAAAGAGAAGCGACCUCGCGAGAGCAAGCGGACCUCAUAAAGUGCGUCGUAGUCCGGAUUGGAGUCUGCAACUCGACUCCAUGAAGUCGGAAUCGCUAGUAAUCGUGGAUCAGAAUGCCACGGUGAAUACGUUCCCGGGCCUUGUACACACCGCCCGUCACACCAUGGGAGUGGGUUGCAAAAGAAGUAGGUAGCUUAACCUUCGGGAGGGCGCUUACCACUUUGUGAUUCAUGACUGGGGUGAAGUCGUAACAAGGUAACCGUAGGGGAACCUGCGGUUGGAUCACCUCCUUACCUGAAAGAAGC
RNAcentral lists this ribosomal RNA (1556 nucleotides) under Salmonella enterica subsp. enterica serovar Waycross. RNAcentral describes it as "bacterial SSU rRNA". It matches the Rfam family "Bacterial small subunit ribosomal RNA". The record is from RNAcentral. Lineage: Bacteria; Pseudomonadati; Pseudomonadota; Gammaproteobacteria; Enterobacterales; Enterobacteriaceae. RNAcentral also lists the same sequence under 2 other names.